UACGUAGGGUGCAAGCGUUAAUCGGAAUUACUGGGCGUAAAGCGUGCGCAGGCGGUUUUGUAAGUUUGUCGUGAAAGCCCCGGGCUCAACCUGGGAAUGGCGAUGAAGACUGCAAGGCUUGAAUCUGGCAGAAGGGGGUAGAAUUCCACGUGUAGCAGUGAAAUGCGUAGAGAUGUGGAGGAACACCGAUGGCGAAGGCAGCCCCCUGGGUCAAGAUUGACGCUCAUGCACGAAAGCGUGGGGAGCAAACAGG
RNAcentral lists this ribosomal RNA (253 nucleotides) under uncultured bacterium. RNAcentral describes it as "partial 16S ribosomal RNA". It matches the Rfam family "Bacterial small subunit ribosomal RNA", at positions 524 to 776 of the family's 1533-position model. The record is from RNAcentral.